ACAAUGUUGUGUAAACAGUCCCUUAAUUCAGGUCUCCAGGAUCAGAAACCAGUGGUAUAGAUUAUUCCCAUACAUCUACAGUAAUAUCUGAUGUUAAUAUCUUUUUUUUUUUUUAACUUAUCUAGUUGAACAUGCCAUUGCUGUUUUUACUGCCCUACCGCUGCUCUUCCCAUCUGGGUCUGCAGCACCGAAGAAACAGGUCCCAAUCAGUGAGGCUCUUUUCCAUGUUCUGACGCCCUCAGAGGAUCCGGAUACCUACAUCCACAGGCGUGCAUUUUCCAGUCCUGUCUUGCUGGUUGGUGAGGAGAACUGCAUGGUGGUUGUAGGUACAACCCCAGUACUAACAUUUGACAAAGACUUGCUCUAUGAGGGGCCUCUCUACCUCCUGGCCUAUUACUAUGCAUUUCAUCUCACAUAUCCAAAGUGUCUUGCAACACUCCUGUCUGUGUUGCAAACACAAGUUCUGAGAGAUGUCAUCCACGAGCAGGAUGAAACCCCCUCGUACAAAAAGGCCAUUCAUGAAUGGAGAAUGUUUGUUGACUAAUUGCUGUUUCAAACUGCUGUGGCUGAGAGACAGCUGCAUUUUUUUUUUCGGCCAUUACAUUUGCACUUGAUUUGUGCUGUUAGGAGUUUUUCCCCAUUUUCAGGAGAUUAAAUGUAUCUAACAUACAGUAAUGCAGCACAGCAUAACAAAAAAAAGUAAUUGCUGUGUGUAACUUUACAGGACUGCUGAGGGUAUACAGUGUUGUUUUGUGCCAGAGUAUAUUUUUUGUUGUUAUUAUUAACGUUGGACUGUUCAUCCUGUUUUGCUGUACCUCAGUUGUUUAAGAGGAAAAUGUUCAUUUUUGAAUCUGCCAUGGAUUCAAGGCAUUGUUGACCCAAACUUCAAUUACUUCUUAAUCUUAUGUUGUACAAACCUGUUUUUUUUUUUCUUUUGGCUACAGAUGAUAUUAUUUAGAAUGUUGGGAACUGUUGAUGGUAGCUAUUGACUUUCAUAGUAUUUUUUAUUUUUUAUUUUGUAUAUUUUUCUUGCUAUGAAAGCUGGCGACAUUCUUCAAAGUGUCAUCUUCUGCAAAAAAAAACUCAUAAGGAUUUUAAGAACAUAAGGGUGAGCAUGAUAAUUAUUUGAUUUUUGGGUUGCUAUCAUGUUACGAAGUAAAUUGAUCCAGGCUGUUUGAAGCUUAAAUGCUGUUUGAGUUUGUGUAGACUGAGGCAAAGCAUUUUGCAUAGAAUACUUGCGGUUUCUGUGCCAGGUAUUUUAUUUCAUUUUAAAGUUUAAGCUUGUCUUUGCUUAUCCUGCCUUAUGCUCCAUUUGUUUAGAACUUUAAAGAAUGUUCUUUAAUAAAUGUUCAGCAAAGCUGGAAGUUGUUUCUUCACUUAAAGUGGGGGAAGGUGUGGGAGGUAUUUUCUUUUAAGAGUUUUCAUCUCAUUUAGGUUUUUGUGUGAUUUAAAAAAAAAAAAAAUCUAAAUAGGCUGGAUUUAAGGUAAACUAUUCUGCUUUCAAUGCAUUUUCCCCCUAAAAUUAUUAUUGUCGUGCUU
Danio rerio (zebrafish) is the source of this 1539-nucleotide non-coding RNA. The record is from RefSeq and is a predicted model, not a curated record. Lineage: Eukaryota; Metazoa; Chordata; Actinopteri; Cypriniformes; Danionidae.